This is a long non-coding RNA of Neofelis nebulosa (Clouded leopard), 452 nucleotides long. RefSeq lists it as uncharacterized. The transcript has 3 exons. NCBI's taxonomy places the organism in Eukaryota, Metazoa, Chordata, Mammalia, Carnivora, Felidae. The record is from RefSeq and is a predicted model, not a curated record.
UUUGUUGGCUAAGUGCUGUGACUAGGACUGCCAGUACUAUGUUGAAUAUAAGUGGUAAGAGUGGAGAUCUUUACUUUUUACUGACCUUGGAGGAAAGCUUUCUGUUUUCUCCACUGAGUAUGAUGUCUGCUGUGGGCUUACAUAGAUAGACUAUAUUAAGCUGAGGUCAACAUGGCUGCCAGAGCAUUUCCUCCUUUCCCAGAAGUGCCCUCCAUGUCGUACCCCGUGGGCUACCCUUUAUCACCAUCCAUGGGCUUUGGGCCACCCCCACCUUCUCCAACCUGGUAGCCUCUGGGACCUCACCCUCCACCUCCACCAUCUGGAAAGAUGAUCUGAACAUCUAUGCAAGUCAGAAUCAACUUCCAUCCACCUCCAGCCUUUAUGAAACCCAGGACGUGGUGUAGCUCCGAUGGGGGAACAUCAGUUGUGUCUCUACCAAGAAUGCAGAGUAA